GUUNCACGAGGUGUCGNCNGNCCCCCUUUAUUUGAUUUAAAAAUUNAACUUUUGGGUNAANAGGCUGAAAUUUUANUGGUAGACGAGAAGACCCUAUAGAGCUUUAUAUUUAUUUAUUUAAUUAUAUUUAUAUAAUUUGNGAUUAUUUAAAAAAAUAUUNUUUUGGGGGGACCAAAAUAUAUAANUAACUUUNUUAUUUAUUAUACAUUGAUUUAUGAUUUUUAGAUCCAUUAUUAUUGAUUGAUAGAUUAAGUUACCUUAGGGAUAACAGCGUAAUCCUCCCCCANAGUUCAUAUUUACGGGUAGGGCUUGCGACCUCNANGUUGGAUUAAGAUNAUACUUAGGUGUAGCCGCUUAAGGUAUAGGUCUGUUCGACCUUUAAAUUCNGACAUGAUCUGAG
This 400-nucleotide ribosomal RNA is filed under the name Austrocordulia refracta. RNAcentral describes it as "partial 16S ribosomal RNA". The stretch from base 264 to 400 matches the Rfam family "Bacterial large subunit ribosomal RNA", at positions 2473 to 2609 of the family's 2925-position model. The record is from RNAcentral. Lineage: Eukaryota; Metazoa; Arthropoda; Insecta; Odonata; Corduliidae.